UACACUUUUAUAAUUACAAUAUAUUCUUAUUACCAUUUCUUCAUGCAGAACCCACUACUCAGCAAUUGUAUGUGGUCUAAAAGGCAGCUGUGUAGUUGCCGAUGGUCAGUUCCAGUUCAGAGGAAUCACGUCCGUCUUGCAGGAACUUCAUUGGUUGCCAAAACUUUGAAGCCAAAUCUUUCCAUCCUUGUGCCAUCCUUCUUGCAGGAUGAACCACUGAAGCAUGAUAUUCCUCUGCUCUGCACCCUUUUCAAUGUUAACCCUAAUUCAAAUACCAUCAUUUGGAAUAUUAAUGGAAAAAUAUAUCAGGAUAAGAUGGAUGCUGACAUGAUAGAUGGGAAAGGAGCUUUCAGUAUUUGGAGCUUGAAACUGAUUCCUCCAGAGGAUUGGCAGCCAGAAAUGUCUUAUGCUUGUUCAUACCAGGUGCUGCAGUCUUCACAACAGGAAGUGUCCUCAAACAGGAAGAUUCACAGAUCAAAGAAGCAGAACUAAGUGGGAGAAGGUUAAAUGUGGCUUAAAAGGAUUGAGAGUUUUGCAUAAUAAACAGAAGAUGGAAAGACUCACAAAGAAGAAAGUGAAUGACAGAAUUUAAAGGUUCAACAUGAAGAACAGAAGUGCUUGUGAGAAAAGAAUAUUUUGGAAAAGGAUGUGUUUAAAAGAAAUGUUAAUGUUUAAGAAAUAUACUUGAAAUAAAUUGAAAGGAAUUGAAAAGAUGCUUAGAUGGAAAGUAAUAGUAGUUAAAAUCUGGAAAAGGUUAUUUUCAAAAGAAAUAUUAAUAAUUAAGAAAUAUAUUUGAAAUAAAUUGAAAUGAAUUGAGAAGAUGUAUAGAAUGAAAAUAAUAUUAAUGAUUAGAAUUAACUUGUUAGUUCUUUCUUAUGUAAAAGUGGAGAGGUAAAAUGAGAAAAGAACAUUUUGGAAAAAGAGGUGUUAAAAAGUAAUAUCAAGGUUUAAGAAAUAUAUUUGAAAUAAAUUGAAAUGAAUCGAGAAGAUACUUAGAUGAAAAAUAACAUUACUUAAUGGAUAAGAUAGGAUGUUGAAUGUUAAAAGUGAAUAUAUAAUUACUGUCAUAUUUGCAUGCAAAAAGAGUGACUCGGAAUUAUGUUGUACACUGAAAAGAGCUUUUUUAUGUUGUUUUGGAAAAAUUGAAUAAAACUUGUUAUUAAAAAAAA
RNAcentral lists this long non-coding RNA (1169 nucleotides) under Naja naja (Indian cobra). Its description in RNAcentral is "lncRNA (ENSNNAG00000015498.1)". The record is from RNAcentral. Lineage: Eukaryota; Metazoa; Chordata; Lepidosauria; Squamata; Elapidae.